Molecule: non-coding RNA, 113 nt
Organism: Acanthosepion pharaonis
Lineage: Eukaryota; Metazoa; Mollusca; Cephalopoda; Sepiida; Sepiidae
Source: the annotation of a GenBank genome assembly
UACGACCAUAUCACGUUGAAACACUAGUUCUCGUAAGAUCGUCGAAGUUAAGCAAUGUCGAGCCUGGUCAGUAACUAGAUGGGUGAGUAAUAGGAAAUAUCAGGUGCUGUAAG